GAUGGAACUAGCUAGGAUACUACUUUUCUUUGAUUUAAGUUUUCUAAGCUAAUUGUGCCUUAUAAUUUGUACAAGGAUAGUAUUUAGUGGCGAGUUUGUUUAAUUGGGUGCCAAAUAAGAUCGAAUUUUUUAUCUGAACAUUUUGUUUUUCUAAUUUCCCAUGUUGUCUUGGCAACCAAAAUUAGGAACUAGGUUGUUGGAUUUCAUGAUCUUGAUAGGCUUCCUUUGUUUUGUAGGAAGGGCGAAUUGAUGAAAACGGG
RNAcentral lists this unclassified non-coding RNA (260 nucleotides) under Hevea brasiliensis (rubber tree). The record is from RNAcentral. Lineage: Eukaryota; Viridiplantae; Streptophyta; Magnoliopsida; Malpighiales; Euphorbiaceae.